RNAcentral lists this non-coding RNA (190 nucleotides) under Dictyocaulus viviparus (bovine lungworm). RNAcentral describes it as "Eukaryotic large subunit ribosomal RNA". It matches the Rfam family "Eukaryotic large subunit ribosomal RNA", at positions 2131 to 2334 of the family's 3401-position model. The record is from Rfam by way of RNAcentral. Lineage: Eukaryota; Metazoa; Nematoda; Chromadorea; Rhabditida; Metastrongylidae.
AACCUGCUGUUUAAUUUAAAAACAUAUAAGACAGAUGGUUUUCACUGUCUCUGCUUUCUACCCACUGCUCUGAAUUUUGACUAGUAGUAAUUUGAGUGAGGGUAAACGGCGAGUGUAACUACGACUCUCUUAAGAUAGCUAAAUGCCUUGUCAGCUAACUAUUGACGAGCAUGAAUGGAUUAACGAGAUU